GCUGGCGGCGCGCCUCAUGCAUGCAAGUCGAACGAUAACUAGUUCAUUCGUAAGAUUGAAUUAGGGACAGUGGCGAACGGGUGCGUAACACGUGAGAAACCUGCCCUGGAGAUCGGGAUAGCCCGAGGAAACUCGGAUUAAUACCGAAUAUGCUCACAGGACCGCAUGGUCCGGUGAGGAAAUGGUCCGCUGCUCCAGGAUGGUCUCGCGGCCUAUCAGCUAGUUGGUGAGGUAAUGGCUCACCAAGGCUCCGACGGGUAGCUGGUCUGAGAGGACGAUCAGCCACACUGGGACUGAGACACGGCCCAGACUCCUACGGGAGGCAGCAGCAGGGAAUAUUGCACAAUGGGCGAAAGCCUGAUGCAGCGACGCCGCGUGCGGGAUGAAGGCCUUCGGGUUGUAAACCGCUUUCAGGAGGGACGAAAAUGACGGUACCUCCAGAAGAAGGCCCGGCCAACUACGUGCCAGCAGCCGCGGUAAUACGUAGGGGCCAAGCGUUGUCCGGAUUUAUUGGGCGUAAAGGGCUCGUAGGCGGUUUGACAAGUCGGUCGUGAAAACCCGGGGCUCAACCCCGGGACGCCGGUCGAAACUGUCAUGACUAGGGUCC
Molecule: ribosomal RNA, 607 nt
Filed under: uncultured Actinomycetes bacterium
Lineage: Bacteria; Bacillati; Actinomycetota; Actinomycetes
Description: bacterial SSU rRNA
Rfam family: Bacterial small subunit ribosomal RNA
Source: RNAcentral